RNAcentral lists this transfer RNA (66 nucleotides) under Kamalia tattakana. RNAcentral's name for it is "tRNA-Phe". Lineage: Eukaryota; Metazoa; Arthropoda; Insecta; Lepidoptera; Notodontidae. The record is from RNAcentral.
AUUUAAAUAGCUUAUAAUUUAGAGCAUAAUAUUGAAGAUAUUAAGGAGAUAGUUUAUCUUUAAAUA